UACGUAGGGUGCAAGCGUUGUCCAGAAUUAUUGGGCGUAAAGAGCUCGUAGGCGGUCUGUCGCGUCGGCUGUGAAAACCCGGGGCUCAACCCCGGGCCUGCAGUCGAUACGGGCAGACUAGAGUGCGGUAGGGGAGACUGGAAUUCCUGGUGUAGCGGUGAAAUGCGCAGAUAUCAGGAGGAACACCGGUGGCGAAGGCGGGUCUCUGGGCCGUAACUGACGCUGAGGAGCGAAAGCGUGGGGAGCGAACAGG
Molecule: ribosomal RNA, 253 nt
Filed under: uncultured bacterium
Lineage: Bacteria
Description: partial 16S ribosomal RNA
Rfam family: Bacterial small subunit ribosomal RNA
Source: RNAcentral